UACGAAGGGGGCUAGCGUUGCUCGGAAUUACUGGGCGUAAAGCGCACGUAGGCGGCUCUUUAAGUCGGGGGUGAAAUCCUGGAGCUCAACUCCAGAACUGCCUUCGCUACUGAAGAGCUUGAGUCCGGGAGAGGUGAGUGGAACUGCGAGUGUAGAGGUGAAAUUCGUAGAUAUCGUUCGGAACACCGAAAGCGAAGGCAGAGGACUGGGUGCCACCUGACACUGCUAGGACGAAAGCGUGGGGAGCGAAUGGG
This 254-nucleotide ribosomal RNA is filed under the name uncultured bacterium. RNAcentral describes it as "partial 16S ribosomal RNA". It matches the Rfam family "Bacterial small subunit ribosomal RNA", at positions 524 to 776 of the family's 1533-position model. The record is from RNAcentral.